GAACGCUAGCUACAGGCUUAACACAUGCAAGUCGAGGGGCAGCAUGGUCUUAGCUUGCUAAGGCCGAUGGCGACCGGCGCACGGGUGAGUAACACGUAUCCAACCUGCCGUCUACUCUUGGACAGCCUUCUGAAAGGAAGAUUAAUACAAGAUGGCAUCAUGAGUCCGCAUGUUCACAUGAUUAAAGGUAUUCCGGUAGACGAUGGGGAUGCGUUCCAUUAGAUAGUAGGCGGGGUAACGGCCCACCUAGUCUUCGAUGGAUAGGGGUUCUGAGAGGAAGGUCCCCCACAUUGGAACUGAGACACGGUCCAAACUCCUACGGGAGGCAGCAGUGAGGAAUAUUGGUCAAUGGGCGCAGGCCUGAACCAGCCAAGUAGCGUGAAGGAUGACUGCCCUAUGGGUUGUAAACUUCUUUUAUAAAGGAAUAAAGUCGGGUAUGGAUACCCGUUUGCAUGUACUUUAUGAAUAAGGAUCGGCUAACUCCGUGCCAGCAGCCGCGGUAAUACGGAGGAUCCGAGCGUUAUCCGGAUUUAUUGGGUUUAAAGGGAGCGUAGAUGGAUGUUUAAGUCAGUUGUGAAAGUUUGCAGCUCAACCGUAAAAUUGCAGUUGAUACUGGAUAUCUUGAGUGCAGUUGAGGCAGGCGGAAUUCGUGGUGUAGCGGUGAAAUGCUUAGAUAUCACGAAGAACUCCGAUUGCGAAGGCAGCCUGCUAAGCUGCAACUGACAUUGAGGCUCGAAAGUGUGGGUAUCAAACAGGAUUAGAUACCCUGGUAGUCCACACGGUAAACGAUGAAUACUCGCUGUUUGCGAUAUACAGCAAGCGGCCAAGCGAAAGCGUUAAGUAUUCCACCUGGGGAGUACGCCGGCAACGGUGAAACUCAAAGGAAUUGACGGGGGCCCGCACAAGCGGAGGAACAUGUGGUUUAAUUCGAUGAUACGCGAGGAACCUUACCCGGGCUUAAAUUGCAGAUGAAUUACGGUGAAAGCCGUAAGCCGCAAGGCAUCUGUGAAGGUGCUGCAUGGUUGUCGUCAGCUCGUGCCGUGAGGUGUCGGCUUAAGUGCCAUAACGAGCGCAACCCUUGUUGUCAGUUACUAACAGGUUCCGCUGAGGACUCUGACAAGACUGCCAUCGUAAGAUGUGAGGAAGGUGGGGAUGACGUCAAAUCAGCACGGCCCUUACGUCCGGGGCUACACACGUGUUACAAUGGGGGGUACAGAGGGCCGCUACCACGCGAGUGGAUGCCAAUCCCCAAAACCUCUCUCAGUUCGGACUGGAGUCUGCAACCCGACUCCACGAAGCUGGAUUCGCUAGUAAUCGCGCAUCAGCCACGGCGCGGUGAAUACGUUCCCGGGCCUUGUACACACCGCCCGUCAAGCCAUGGGAGCCGGGGGUACCUGAAGUGCGUAACCGCGAGGAGCGCCCUAGGGUAAAACUGGUGACUGG
Molecule: ribosomal RNA, 1443 nt
Filed under: uncultured organism
Description: SSU rRNA
Rfam family: Bacterial small subunit ribosomal RNA
Source: RNAcentral